CACACGAGUUUGAUCAUGGCUCAGAUUGACGCUGCGGCAUGCUUAACACAUGCAAGUCGAACGCGAAAGUCCUUCGGGGCGAGUAGAGUGGCGGACGGGUGAGUAACGCGUGGGAAUCUACCCUAGANCGGGGGACAACCCGGGGAAACCCGGGCUAAUACCGCAUACGUCCUACGGGAGAAAGAGGGCCUCUGCUUGCACGCUCUCACUCCAGGAUGAGCCCACGUCCGAUUAGCUAGUUGGUAGGGUAAAGGCCUACCAAGGCCACGAUCGGUAGCUGGUCUGAGAGGAUGAUCAGCCACACUGGGACUGAGACACGGCCCAGACUCCUACGGGAGGCAGAAGUGGGGAAUAUUGGACAAUGGGCGCAAGCCUGAUCCAGCAAUGCCGCGUGUGUGAAGAAGGCCUGCGGGUUGUAAAGCACUUUCAGUGGGGAAGAACAGAUUCGGGUCAAUACCCCCGGAGCCCUGACGUUACCCACAGAAGAAGCACCGGCUAACUCCGUG
Molecule: ribosomal RNA, 506 nt
Filed under: uncultured bacterium
Lineage: Bacteria
Description: bacterial SSU rRNA
Rfam family: Bacterial small subunit ribosomal RNA
Source: RNAcentral